UGCGUAGGUGGCGGGGUAAGUCAGGUGUGAAAUCUCGGAGCUCAACUCCGAAACUGCACUUGAUACUGCCUUGCUCGAGUACUGGAGAGGAGAUUGGAAUUUACGGUGUAGCAGUGAAAUGCGUAGAUAUCGUAAGGAAGACCAGUGGCGAAGGCGAAUCUCUGGACAGUUACUGACACUGAGGACGAAGGCCAGGGGGAGCGAAACG
RNAcentral lists this ribosomal RNA (208 nucleotides) under uncultured bacterium. Its description in RNAcentral is "partial 16S ribosomal RNA". It matches the Rfam family "Bacterial small subunit ribosomal RNA", at positions 568 to 775 of the family's 1533-position model. The record is from RNAcentral.